UAGCUUGCUAAAUUAACUUAGUGGCGGACUGGUGAGUAACGCGUGAGUAAUCUGCCUAUUACAGGGGGAUAACAGUUGGAAACGACUGCUAAUACCGCAUAAGACCACGGGAAGGCAUCUUCAAGGGGUCAAAGGGAUACUGGUAAUAGAUGAGCUUGCGUAUCAUUAGCUAGAUGGUGAGGGUAAAGGCCCACCAUGGCGACGAUGAUUAGCCGAUCUGAGAGGAUGACCGGCCACACUGGAACUGAGAUACGGUCCAGACUCCUACGGGAGGCAGCAGUUAGGAAUAUUGGGCAAUGGAGGAAACUCUGACCCAGCAACGCCGCGUGAAGGAAGAAGGUUUUCGGAUUGUAAACUUCUGAUCUUGGGGAAAAAGAAAGUGAUGGUACCCAAGGAGAAAGCCACGGCUAACUACGUGCCAGCAGCCGCGGUAAUACGUAGGUGGCGAGCGUUGUCCGGAAUGACUGGGCGUAAAGGGAGCGUAGGUUGUUGUUUAAGUUAAAUGUGAAAGCCCGCGGCUCAACUGCGGAACUGCAUUUAAUACUGGACAACUAGAGUGCAGGAGGGGUAAGCGGAAUUCCUAGUGUAGCGGUGGAAUGCGUAGAUAUUAGGAAGAACACCAGAGGCGAAGGCGGCUUACUGGACUGUAACUGACACUGAGGCUCGAAAGCGUGGGGAGCAAACAGGAUUAGAUACCCUGGUAGUCCACGCCCUAAACGAUGGAUACUAAAUGUGGGAGGUAUCGACUCCUUCCGUAUUGAAGCAAACGCGAUAAGUAUCCCGCCUG
This 787-nucleotide ribosomal RNA is filed under the name uncultured bacterium. RNAcentral's name for it is "bacterial SSU rRNA". It matches the Rfam family "Bacterial small subunit ribosomal RNA", at positions 76 to 875 of the family's 1533-position model. The record is from RNAcentral.